RNAcentral lists this ribosomal RNA (323 nucleotides) under uncultured bacterium. Its description in RNAcentral is "bacterial SSU rRNA". It matches the Rfam family "Bacterial small subunit ribosomal RNA", at positions 28 to 334 of the family's 1533-position model. The record is from RNAcentral.
GAUGAACGCUGACGGCGUGCUUAACACAUGCAAGUCGAACGAAGCGCUUAAACGGAUUUCUUCGAAUUGAAGUUUUUGCGACUGAGUGGCGACGGGUGAGUAACGCGUGGGUAACCUGCCUCACACAGGGGGAUAACAGCUAGAAAUGGCUGCUAAUACCGCAUAAGACCACGGUACCGCAUGGUACGGUGGCAAAAGCUCCGGCGGUGUAAGAUGGGCCCGCGUCUGAUUAGGUAGUUGGUGCGGUAACGGCGCACCAAGCCUGCGAUCAGUAGCCGACCUGAGAGGGUGACCGGCCACAUUGGGACUGAGACACGGCCCAA